AUCAUUCUCAAUUAGGCUCAGUCUCUCUUUGCUUCUCUCCCUUCCAGACUCACUGAGAUCCCAGCUGACCUCCAGCCAUGAUGAGUUUUCACCUUCCGUUUGCUGUUCUUCUCUUGCUCUCCCUGGCUGCUGCAGGCUAUGCAGAGAUGCCCAUAGAUAUCUGUGGCCUACUUUUCCUCUGUUGAUUUGCUGGCCUGCUCCAUGGAAUGUGCAAGACCGGGAAGACGUUUUGCAGCAUUGAACUCUGCGGAUGACAGCUACAGAAAUUGAAGAGGGUGCGCAAGAUCUAAGGCCGUAGUGAGGCUGCUCAUGUCCUGGUCUCCUUUUAAAUAAAAGUUCUGGCUGUUCA
Molecule: long non-coding RNA, 349 nt
Organism: Mauremys mutica (yellowpond turtle)
Lineage: Eukaryota; Metazoa; Chordata; Testudines; Geoemydidae
Exons: 2
Source: RefSeq, a predicted model, not a curated record